CGUGGAGACAGGUGGUGCAUGGCUGUCGUCAGCUCGUGCCGUGAGGUGUUGGAUUAAGUUCCGCAACGAGCGCAACCCUCGUUACUAGUUGCCAUCAUUCAGUUGGGCACUCUAGUGAGACUGCCAGCGUCAAGCUGGAGGAAGGUGGGGACGACGUCAGGUCAUCAUGCCCCUUACGUCCUGGGCUACACACGUGCUACAAUGGGCGGCACAACGGGUUGCCACCUCGCAAGAGGGCGCGAAUCCCUUAAAACCGUUCUCAGUUCGGAUUGGAGGCUGCAACUCGCCUCCAUGAAGUUGGAAUUGCUAGUAAACGUGGAUCAGCAUGCCGCGUUGAAUACGUACCCGGGGCUUGUACACACCGCCCGUCACACCACGAAAGUCUGCUGUACUCGAAGUCGCUGAG
Molecule: ribosomal RNA, 406 nt
Filed under: uncultured Methylomirabilota bacterium
Lineage: Bacteria; Methylomirabilota (SeqCode)
Description: bacterial SSU rRNA
Rfam family: Bacterial small subunit ribosomal RNA
Source: RNAcentral